UACGUAGGGUGCAAGCGUUGUCCGGAAUUACUGGGCGUAAAGGGUUCGUAGGUGGCUCGCUAAGCCAGACGUGAAAUCCCUCAGCUUAACUGGGGAACUGCGUCUGGGACUGGAGAGCUGGAGUGCAGGAGAGGAAUGCGGAAUUCCAGGUGUAGCGGUGAAAUGCGUAGAUAUCUGGAGGAACACCGGUGGCGAAGGCGGCAUUCUGGACUGCAACUGACACUGAGGAACGAAAGCCAGGGGAGCAAACGGG
Molecule: ribosomal RNA, 253 nt
Filed under: uncultured bacterium
Lineage: Bacteria
Description: partial 16S ribosomal RNA
Rfam family: Bacterial small subunit ribosomal RNA
Source: RNAcentral